CGUUAGCGGCGGACGGGUGAGUAACACGUGGGUAACCUACCUAUAAGACUGGGACAACUUCGGGAAACCGGAGCUAAUACCGGAUAAGAUAUCGAACCGCAUGGUUCGAUAGUGAAAGAUGGUUUUGCUAUCACUUAUAGAUGGACCCGCGCCGUAUUAGCUAGUUGGUGAGGUAACGGCCCACCAAGGCAACGAUACGUAGCCGACCUGAGAGGGUGAUCGGCCACACUGGAACUGAGACACGGUCCAGACUCCUACGGGAGGCAGCAGCC
This 272-nucleotide ribosomal RNA is filed under the name uncultured Staphylococcus sp. Its description in RNAcentral is "partial 16S ribosomal RNA". It matches the Rfam family "Bacterial small subunit ribosomal RNA", at positions 90 to 355 of the family's 1533-position model. The record is from RNAcentral. Lineage: Bacteria; Bacillati; Bacillota; Bacilli; Caryophanales; Staphylococcaceae.